This 32-nucleotide non-coding RNA is filed under the name Mus musculus (house mouse). Lineage: Eukaryota; Metazoa; Chordata; Mammalia; Rodentia; Muridae. The record is from RNAcentral.
UCAACACAUCGUUUUCNGCCCUGCCUUCUGUG